AGAGUUUGAUUAUGGCUCAGGAUGAACGCUAGCUACAGGCUUAACACAUGCAAGUCGAGGGGCAGCAUGGGAUUAGCUUGCUAAUCUUGAUGGCGACCGGCGCACGGGUGAGUAACGCGUAUCCAACCUUCCCCCUACUCAGGCAUAGCCCGGUGAAAACCGGAUUAACUCCUGAUAGUUUCACUAGAUGGCAUCUGACGGUGAAUAAAGCUUUGCGGUAAGGGAUGGGGAUGCGUCUGAUUAGCUUGUUGGCGGGGUAACGGCCCACCAAGGCGACGAUCAGUAGGGGUUCUGAGAGGAAGGUCCCCCACAUUGGAACUGAGACACGGUCCAAACUCCUACGGGAGGCAGCAGUGAGGAAUAUUGGUCAAUGGGCGCGAGCCUGAACCAGCCAAGUAGCGUGCAGGAAGACGGCCCUAUGGGUUGUAAACUGCUUUUGUGCGGGAAUAAAGUCAGGGACGUGUCCCUGUUUGCAUGUACCGCAAGAAUAAGGACCGGCUAAUUCCGUGCCAGCCGCGGC
RNAcentral lists this ribosomal RNA (520 nucleotides) under uncultured bacterium. RNAcentral's name for it is "bacterial SSU rRNA". It matches the Rfam family "Bacterial small subunit ribosomal RNA", at positions 8 to 518 of the family's 1533-position model. The record is from RNAcentral.